CCAACGGUCAUCAAAACUGGUGUGUGAUUGGCCAAGAGGGGUUUCAGUUGAAACAUCCUAUAUCAUUGGUUCAAUAAAAGUAAACAAAGCUUUACGUGUGGCUUUCUGACAACAUCGUUUUCUUGAUGAGAUUUUACAACAAUGCCAGCAAAUAUGCCAAAACGGCAAACAUUUUUUAACAUUGAAUGGACGAAAGAGUACGAUUAGCUCACCAAAAGCAGUCAAGACUCGUUUCACGGUUUCUGCAAGCUUUGCCGGUGUGACAUUGACGUGAGCAGCAGGGGCAAAGCAGCCUGAGAAUGUAACGCGGAGAGCGCAAAACAUAAAAGAAUGAGGCGAGCAGCACGUGCGUUGACAUUGAAAAAAAUUUUUUGAGAACCCUCAUUGCCUCUGGAUAACGAAAUAACUUCAGCUGAACUGAAAAGUAAAGUUCUUCCUCUUAUAAAGGGCGUGGACUCCACUAUCAGUUGACAAGACAGCUCUCACAGACAUUGCGCCACACCUUCCCAUAGGGGGGUGCCCUAGGCAGAACCUUGACUUUCACUGUGAUAAACUGAAACACACGCUGCGUUCUAAUGACGGAUUUAGGUGGAAACAGGACAAAGGUUUUAUUGCAUACAAGCAUCAGGAGUGUUUCAAGAGUGAUUUGGUCGACGAUUCAAGGGUCGCGGAGUUGCUGGAGCCUAUCCCAGCUAACUACGGGCAGAAGGCAGGGUACACCCUAAACUGGUUGCCAGCCAGUCACAGGGCACAAUGAGACAUACAUCCAUUCACGCACACACUCCUAUCUACGGAUGGAAUUUAGAGUGUUCAAUCAGCCUACCAUGCAUGUAUUUGGGAUGUGGGAGGAAUCUGGAGUUCCCGGAGGAAAACACACGCAGGCACGGUGGUCUUAUUCAGUCUUCCCAGCCUGGUGCAGGUCUACAAUUUUGUCUCUGGUGUCCUUCGACAGCUCUUUCGUCUUGGCCAUAGUGGAGUUAGGAGUGUGACUGAGGUUGUGGACAGGUGUCUUUUAUACCGAUAAUGAGUUAAAACAGGUGUCAUUGAUACAGGUAACGAGUGGAGCCUCGUUAGACCUCGUUAGAAGACGUUAGACCUCUUUGACAGCCAGAAAUCUUGCUUGUUUGUAGGUGACCAAAUACUU
This is a long non-coding RNA of Corythoichthys intestinalis (scribbled pipefish), 1144 nucleotides long. RefSeq lists it as uncharacterized. NCBI's taxonomy places the organism in Eukaryota, Metazoa, Chordata, Actinopteri, Syngnathiformes, Syngnathidae. The record is from RefSeq and is a predicted model, not a curated record. The transcript has 3 exons.